RNAcentral lists this ribosomal RNA (253 nucleotides) under uncultured bacterium. Its description in RNAcentral is "partial 16S ribosomal RNA". It matches the Rfam family "Bacterial small subunit ribosomal RNA", at positions 524 to 776 of the family's 1533-position model. The record is from RNAcentral.
UACGAAGGGGGCUAGCGUUGUUCGGAAUUACUGGGCGUAAAGCGCGCGCAGGCGGCUAUCCAAGUCAGUGGUGAAAGCCCGGAGCUCAACUCCGGAACUGCCAUUGAAACUGUUUAGCUUGAGGACGAGAGAGGUGAGUGGAAUUCCCAGUGUAGAGGUGAAAUUCGUAGAUAUUGGGAAGAACACCAGUGGCGAAGGCGGUUCACUGGCUCGUAUCUGACGCUCAGGCGCGAUAGCGUGGGGAUCAAACAGG